RNAcentral lists this ribosomal RNA (438 nucleotides) under uncultured bacterium. RNAcentral describes it as "partial 16S ribosomal RNA". It matches the Rfam family "Bacterial small subunit ribosomal RNA", at positions 339 to 795 of the family's 1533-position model. The record is from RNAcentral.
CUACGGGGCGCUCCAGUGAGGAAUAUUGCACAAUGGGGGGAACCCUGAUGCAGCAACGCCGCGUGGAGGAUGACGCAUUUCGGUGUGCAAACUCCUUUUAUAUGUCAAGAAAAUGACGGUAGCAUAUGAAUAAGCACCGGCUAACUCCGUGCCAGCAGCCGCGGUAAUACGGGGGUGCAAGCGUUACUCGGAAUCACUGGGCGUAAAGGACGCGUAGGCGGGUUGGAAAGUCAGGUGUGAAAUCCUACAGCUUAACUGUAGAACUGCACUUGAAACUUCUAAUCUAGAGUAUGGGAGGGGGAGAUGGAAUUAGUGGUGUAGGGGUAAAAUCCGUAGAUAUCACUAGGAAUACCUAAAGCGAAGGCGAUCUCCUGGAACAUUACUGACGCUAAGGCGUGAAAGCGUGGGGAGCAAACAGGAUUAGAUACCCGUGUAGUC